GCUGGUGUAGCUCAGAGGCAGAGCGGCGCACUUGGGUAGUUUCGUCUAAGAAAGACACCUAAUAAGGAAAUGUGAGUUCAAAUCUUACAAUUACUACAAUAAUGCGCAGGUCGAGAUUUCGAAAUUCUCCAUCAGCUCCA
This 140-nucleotide transfer RNA is filed under the name Caudoviricetes sp. RNAcentral's name for it is "tRNA-Pro". The stretch from base 35 to 96 matches the Rfam family "tRNA". Lineage: Duplodnaviria; Heunggongvirae; Uroviricota; Caudoviricetes. The record is from RNAcentral.